AUCUAGCUGAAGAGUCCUAAACAGGAUGAAACGCGCGUACUGGAU
Molecule: non-coding RNA, 45 nt
Filed under: Schistosoma bovis
Lineage: Eukaryota; Metazoa; Platyhelminthes; Trematoda; Strigeidida; Schistosomatidae
Also listed under: 1 other name
Source: RNAcentral